RNAcentral lists this ribosomal RNA (393 nucleotides) under uncultured bacterium. RNAcentral describes it as "bacterial SSU rRNA". It matches the Rfam family "Bacterial small subunit ribosomal RNA", at positions 1002 to 1399 of the family's 1533-position model. The record is from RNAcentral.
AGAGAUGAGGCUGUGCUAGAGAGAGAACCUGCACACAGGUGCUGCAUGUCUGUUGUCAGCUUGUGUCGUGAGAUGUUGGGUUAAGUCCCGCAGCGAGCGCAACCCUUGCCUUUAGUUGCUAAGAAAGGGCACUUUAAGGGGACUGCCGGUGACAAGCCGGAGGAAGGUGGGGAUGACGUCAAGUCCUCAUGCCCCUUAUGUGUGGGGCUACACACGUCAUACAAUGGCCGGUACAAAGGGCAGCCAACCCGCGAGGGGGAGCCAAUCCCAUAAAGCCGGUCGUAGUCCGGAUCGCAGUCUGCAACUCGCCUGCGUGAAGUCGGAAUCGCUAGUAAUCGUGGAUCAGCAUGUCGCGGUGAAUACGUUCCCGGGUCUUGUACACACCGCCCGUCA